UACGAAGGGGGCUAGCGUUGCUCGGAAUCACUGGGCGUAAAGCGCACGUAGGCGGAUCUUUAAGUCAGGGGUGAAAUCCUGGAGCUCAACUCCAGAACUGCCUUUGAUACUGGGGAUCUCGAGUCCGGAAGAGGUGAGUGGAACUCCGAGUGUAGAGGUGAAAUUCGUAGAUAUUCGGAAGAACACCAGUGGCGAAGGCGGCUCACUGGUCCGGUACUGACGCUGAGGUGCGAAAGCGUGGGAGCAAACAGG
RNAcentral lists this ribosomal RNA (252 nucleotides) under uncultured bacterium. RNAcentral's name for it is "partial 16S ribosomal RNA". It matches the Rfam family "Bacterial small subunit ribosomal RNA", at positions 524 to 776 of the family's 1533-position model. The record is from RNAcentral.